Molecule: ribosomal RNA, 428 nt
Filed under: uncultured bacterium
Lineage: Bacteria
Description: bacterial SSU rRNA
Rfam family: Bacterial small subunit ribosomal RNA
Source: RNAcentral
UGGGGAAUUUUGGACAAUGGGGGAAACCCUGAUCCAGCCAUUCCGCGUGAGUGAAGAAGGCCUUCGGGUUGUAAAGCUCUUUUGUCCGGAACGAAACGGGUAGGUCUAAUAAGCCUGCCUACUGACGGUACCGGAAGAAUAAGCACCGGCUAACUACGUGCCAGCAGCCGCGGUAAUACGUAGGGUGCGAGCGUUAAUCGGAAUUACUGGGCGUAAAGCGUGCGCAGGCGGUUUUGUAAGCCAGAUGUGAAAUCCCCGGGCUUAACCUGGGAAUGGCAUUUGGGACUGCAAGGCUUGAGUGCGGCAGAGGGGACUGGAAUUCCUGGUGUAGCAGUGAAAUGCGUAGAGAUCAGGAGGAAUACCGAUGGCGAAGGCAGGUCCCUGGGUUGACACUGACGCUCAUGCACGAAAGCGUGGGGAGCAAACAG